GUGGGGAAUUUUGGACAAUGGGCGAGAGCCUGAACCAGCCAAGUCGCGUGAAGGAAGAAGGAUCUAUGGUUCGUAAACUUCUUUUGCAGGGGAAUAAAGUGCAGGACGUGUCCUGUUUUGUAUGUACCCUGAGAAUAAGGAUCGGCUAACUCCGUGCCAGCAGCCGCGGUAAUACGGAGGAUCCGAGCAUUAUCCGGAUUUAUUGGGUUUAAAGGGUGCGUAGGUGGUUUGAUAAGUCAGCGGUGAAAGUUUGCAGCUUAACUGUAAAAAUGCCGUUGAAACUGUCGGACUUGAGUGUAAAUGAGGUAGGCGGAAUGCGUGGUGUAGCGGUGAAAUGCAUAGAUAUCACGCAGAACUCCGAUUGCGAAGGCAGCUUACUAAGCUACAACUGACACUGAAGCACGAAAGCGUGGGGAUCAAACAGGAUUAGAUACCCGUGUAGUCC
RNAcentral lists this ribosomal RNA (445 nucleotides) under uncultured bacterium. RNAcentral's name for it is "partial 16S ribosomal RNA". It matches the Rfam family "Bacterial small subunit ribosomal RNA", at positions 354 to 796 of the family's 1533-position model. The record is from RNAcentral.